RNAcentral lists this transfer RNA (74 nucleotides) under Trichonephila inaurata madagascariensis. RNAcentral describes it as "tRNA-Val". The record is from RNAcentral. Lineage: Eukaryota; Metazoa; Arthropoda; Arachnida; Araneae; Nephilidae.
GGUUCCGUAGUGUAGUGAGUUAUCACGUUCGCUUCACACGCGAAAGGUCUCCGGUUCGAUCCCGGACGGAACCA